Molecule: non-coding RNA, 142 nt
Organism: Caenorhabditis elegans
Lineage: Eukaryota; Metazoa; Nematoda; Chromadorea; Rhabditida; Rhabditidae
Source: Ensembl
ACACCACCCAACCGCAAUGAUGCACACAGUGGCAGCAGCCACCGAAACGUCCCUUUCCAUUGCGGCAGCAGCAGCGGCAAAUGUGUCCCUCUCCCGUCUCUCAUAGCGGACGGAAAAUUUGGGCGGAGUCUACUGACUUGUG